GAGUCAGUAGGUUGGUCGUGCCACCGGUACGUACUGGUCUCACUGAUUCCUCCUUCCUGAAGAACCGUAAUGCCAUUAAUUUGGUGUUGCGGGGAAACAGGACUGUUACUUUGAAAAAAUUAUAGUGUUUAACGCAAGCUAACGCUUGAAUACAUUAGCAUGGAAUAAUGAAAUAGGACGAUCGAUCCUAUUUUGUUGGGUUCUAGGAUUGACGUA
Molecule: ribosomal RNA, 216 nt
Filed under: Glomeromycotina sp.
Lineage: Eukaryota; Fungi; Glomeromycota
Description: partial small subunit ribosomal RNA
Rfam family: Eukaryotic small subunit ribosomal RNA (bases 40-216)
Source: RNAcentral